RNAcentral lists this ribosomal RNA (253 nucleotides) under uncultured bacterium. Its description in RNAcentral is "partial 16S ribosomal RNA". It matches the Rfam family "Bacterial small subunit ribosomal RNA", at positions 524 to 776 of the family's 1533-position model. The record is from RNAcentral.
UACAGAGGUCUCAAGCGUUGUUCGGAUUCAUUGGGCGUAAAGGGUGCGUAGGCGGCGCGGUAAGUCGGGUGUGAAAUCUUGGAGCUUAACUCCGAAACUGCAUUCGAUACUGCCGUGCUUGAGGACUGGAGAGGAGACUGGAAUUUACGGUGUAGCGGUGAAAUGCGUAGAUAUCGAGAGGAACACCGGUGGCGAAGGCGAGUCCCUGGACAACACCUGACACUGAGGCACGAAAGCUAGGGGAGCAAACAGG